GACGUAGGGGGCCAGCGUUGUUCGGAAUUACUGGGUGUAAAGGGUUCGUAGGCGGUGUGGCAAGUCGGGAGUGAAAUCUCUGGGCUCAACCCAGAGACUGCUUCCGAAACUGCUGUGCUUGAGUGUGAGAGAGGCUCGUGGAAUUGCAGGUGUAGCAGUGAAAUGCGUAGAUAUGCGGAGGAACACCGAUGGCGAAGGCAAUCCCCUGGGCCUGCACUGACGCUCAUGCACGAAAGCGUGGGGAGCAAACAGG
This 253-nucleotide ribosomal RNA is filed under the name uncultured prokaryote. RNAcentral's name for it is "partial 16S ribosomal RNA". It matches the Rfam family "Bacterial small subunit ribosomal RNA", at positions 524 to 776 of the family's 1533-position model. The record is from RNAcentral.